RNAcentral lists this ribosomal RNA (253 nucleotides) under uncultured bacterium. RNAcentral describes it as "partial 16S ribosomal RNA". It matches the Rfam family "Bacterial small subunit ribosomal RNA", at positions 524 to 776 of the family's 1533-position model. The record is from RNAcentral.
UACGUAGGGUGCGAGCGUUAAUCGGAAUUACUGGGCGUAAAGCGUGCGCAGGCGGUGAUGUAAGACAGAUGUGAAAUUCCUGGGCUCAACCUGGGGACUGCAUUUGUGACUGCAUCGCUAGAGUGUGGCAGAGGGGGAUGGAAUUCCGCAUGUAGCAGUGAAAUGCGUAGAUAUGCGGAGGAACACCGAUGGCGAAGGCAGUCCCCUGGGCCUGCACUGACGCUCAUGCACGAAAGCGUGGGGAGCAAACAGG